This 301-nucleotide ribosomal RNA is filed under the name uncultured bacterium. RNAcentral describes it as "partial 16S ribosomal RNA". It matches the Rfam family "Bacterial small subunit ribosomal RNA", at positions 509 to 807 of the family's 1533-position model. The record is from RNAcentral.
CAGCCGCCGCGGUAAAACGAAGGGGGCUAGCGUUGCUCGGAAUUACUGGGCGUAAAGGGAGCGUAGGCGGACAUUUAAGUCAGGGGUGAAAUCCCAGAGCUCAACUCUGGAACUGCCUUUGAUACUGGGUGUCUUGAGUGUGAUAGAGGUAUGUGGAACUCCGAGUGUAGAGGUGAAAUUCGUAGAUAUUCGGAAGAACACCAGUGGCGAAGGCGGCCAUCUGGGACAACACUGACGCUGAGGCACGAAAGCGUGGGGAGCAAACAGGAUUAGAUACCCCGGUAGUCCCUGUCUCUUAUAC